UGAUAGCUGUGAAGCGAGAGGUUGCUGCCAAGAAAUGAGGCAGGUUUUCCGUGGAGCGAAUGUCAAGUUAGGAAACUGGCGACAA
This 85-nucleotide non-coding RNA is filed under the name uncultured Enterocloster sp. RNAcentral's name for it is "S10-Clostridia ribosomal protein leader". It matches the Rfam family "S10-Clostridia ribosomal protein leader". Lineage: Bacteria; Bacillati; Bacillota; Clostridia; Lachnospirales; Lachnospiraceae. The record is from RNAcentral.